UACGUAGGGUGCGAGCGUUGUCCGGAAUUAUUGGGCGUAAAGAGCUCGUAGGCGGUUUGUUGCGUCUAUCGUGAAAACCUGCAGCUUAACUGUGGGCUUGCGGUGGAUACGGGCAGACUUGAGUUCGGUAGGGGAGACUGGAAUUCCUGGUGUAGUGGUGAAAUGCGCAGAUAUCAGGAGGAACACCGGUGGCGAAGGCGGGUCUCUGGGCCGAUACUGACGCUGAGGAGCGAAAGCGUGGGGAGCGAACAGG
RNAcentral lists this ribosomal RNA (253 nucleotides) under uncultured bacterium. RNAcentral describes it as "partial 16S ribosomal RNA". It matches the Rfam family "Bacterial small subunit ribosomal RNA", at positions 524 to 776 of the family's 1533-position model. The record is from RNAcentral.